CAAGUCUUGACAUCCCUCUGACCGGUACGUAACGGUACCUUUCCUUCGGGACAGAGGAGACAGGUGGUGCAUGGUUGUCGUCAGCUCGUGUCGUGAGAUGUUGGGUUAAGUCCCGCAACGAGCGCAACCCCUAUCCUUAGUAGCCAGCGGAUGAUGGGCACUCUAAGGAGACUGCCGGGGAUAAACCGGAGGAAGGCGGGGAUGACGUCAAAUCAUCAUGCCCCUUAUGAUUUGGGCUACACACGUGCUACAAUGGCGUAAACAAAGGGAAGCGAGCCCGCGAGGGGGAGCAAAUCCCAAAAAUAACGUCCCAGUUCGGACUGCAGUCUGCAACCCGACUCCAGAAGCUGGAAUCGCUAGUAAUCGCGAUCAGAAGCCGCA
This 381-nucleotide ribosomal RNA is filed under the name uncultured bacterium. RNAcentral's name for it is "bacterial SSU rRNA". It matches the Rfam family "Bacterial small subunit ribosomal RNA", at positions 975 to 1361 of the family's 1533-position model. The record is from RNAcentral.